GAACGAGAAAGGGUAGCAAUACCUGAGUAAAGUGGCGCACGGGUGAGUAACACGUGACUAACCUACCCUUGAGUGGGGGAUAACCUAGGGAAACCUGGGCUAAUACCGCAUAACACCUACGGGUCAAAGGAGCAAUUCGCUUGAAGAGGGGGUCGCGGCUGAUUAGCUAGUUGGCGGGGUAACGGCCCACCAAGGCGAUGAUCGGUAGCCGGCCUGAGAGGGCGCACGGCCACACUGGAACUGAAACACGGUCCAGACUCCUACGGGAGGCAGCAGUGGGGAAUUUUGCGCAAUGGGGGAAACCCUGACGCAGCAACGCCGCGUGGAGGAUGAAGCCCUUUGGGGCGUAAACUCCUUUCGACCAAGACGAUAAUGACGGUACUGGUGGAAGAAGCACCGGCUAACUCUGUG
RNAcentral lists this ribosomal RNA (411 nucleotides) under uncultured bacterium. Its description in RNAcentral is "bacterial SSU rRNA". It matches the Rfam family "Bacterial small subunit ribosomal RNA", at positions 64 to 507 of the family's 1533-position model. The record is from RNAcentral.